GGGGAUUUAGCUCAGUGGUAGAGCGCUUGCCUAGCAAGUGCAAGGCCCUGGCUUCAGUCCCUA
This 63-nucleotide transfer RNA is filed under the name Rattus norvegicus (Norway rat). It matches the Rfam family "tRNA". Rfam says of the family: Transfer RNA (tRNA) molecules are approximately 80 nucleotides in length. Their secondary structure includes four short double-helical elements and three loops (D, anti-codon, and T loops). The record is from Rfam by way of RNAcentral. Lineage: Eukaryota; Metazoa; Chordata; Mammalia; Rodentia; Muridae.